RNAcentral lists this long non-coding RNA (6876 nucleotides) under Solanum tuberosum (potato). RNAcentral describes it as "long non-coding RNA (STUB_LNC010395)". Lineage: Eukaryota; Viridiplantae; Streptophyta; Magnoliopsida; Solanales; Solanaceae. The record is from RNAcentral.
GAAAAUAGCAAAAAGUUGCAUAUUGCAGUAUUUCCAUGGCUAGCUUUUGGUCAUAUGAUUCCGUAUUUAGAGCUUUCAAAGCUCAUAGCUCGUAAGGGUCACAAAAUUUCAUUCAUUUCUACUCCAAAAAAUAUUGAUCGUCUCCCAAAACUUCCACCAAAUUUCGCCCCCUUCAUAAAUUUCGUCAAAAUUCCUCUGCCCCACGUUGAAAAGUUACCGAAAAAUGCAGAAGCCACUAUUGAUUUGCCUUAUGAGCAAGUAAAGUACCUCAAAAUUGCUCAAGAUGGACUCAAAGAACCCAUAGCUAAGUUUCUCGAAGAUUCGGCUCCUGAUUUUAUAAUCUUCGAUUUUGCUUCUUAUUGGAUUCCUUCCAUUGCUUCAAAAUUCAACAUUCCGACCGGUUAUUUUAGCAUAUUCAUCGCUGCGGUUCUAGGUUUCACCGGACCUGAGCCAGGAUUGAACAAUGAUUAUGAAAUUCGGAAGACGCCGGAGGAAUACACCGUUCCCCCAAAAUGGGUGCCAUUUGAAACCACCGUUGCUUUCAAGCUUUUCGAAGUUUUGAGAAUCUUCGAAGCGUCCAUGAAAGGAGAGGAAGAGAACGUUUCUGAUAUUAUUCGUUAUUAUAAAUCUGUUGAAAACUGUGAUUUUUUGCUUGUGAGGAGCUGUUCAGAAUUUGAACCAGAAUGGUUGAAAGUUGUCGGAGAUAUUCACCGGAAACUAGUUUUUCCGGUGGGUCAACUUCCGACAACUCCGUAUGAAGAUGACAGCACAAAAAUUGAUGCAUGGAGAGAGAUAAAACUAUGGCUUGAUGAGCAAGAAAAGGGGAAAGUGAUUUACGUGGCAUUUGGUAGUGAGGCGAAACCGAGUCAAAACGAACUCACUGAGUUAUCACUUGGGCUAGAGCUUUCCGGGUUACCAUUUUUUUGGGUAUUAAGAACUAAAAGAGGGGAAUCCGAUGAUGAAUUAAUUCAAUUGCCAGAAGGGUUCAAAGAUCGAACAAAGGGAAGGGGGAUUGUGUGCACGAGUUGGGUCCCACAACUUAAGAUACUGAGUCAUCACUCAGUGGGUGGAUUUUUGACUCAUUCGGGAUGGAGUUCAGUAGUUGAGGCAAUACAAUUUGAGAAGCCAUUGGUUCUUUUAACAUUUUUGGCCGAUCAAGGAAUAAAUGCUAGGUUAUUAGAGGAGAAGAAGAUGGCGUACUCGAUACCGAGAGAUGAUCGUGAUGGGUCGUUCACUCGUGACUCGGUGGCUGAGUCACUAAAUUUGGUACUUAUUGAAAAAAAGGGUGAGAUUUAUCGAAAAAAGAUUAAAGAGGCGAAAAAUCUUUUUUGUGAUGAGAGAAGACAAAAUGAUUAUGUGGAGAGUUUAUUAAAUUAUCUUCAAAAUUAUAAAAAAGACUAAAAUAUAAAUUGGAAGAAAAAUAACCUGCUUUUUCUUUUACGUAACAAACAAAACGAAAUAUAUUGUAAAAGUGCCAAUGCUGCUUUGAUUUUAAUUUGUGGAAUGGUUUAAUUUAUGUACCAUUAUGUAAUGAUUAUCUAUGUGAUGAAUAAUACUUUGAUAAAAUAAUGUAAUAUAAGUAUUGUUAGUUGUUGAGGUUAUUUUUUUGCAUUUAGCUAACGGUGAAAUACAUAAAUAAUCUCUUAAACUUGUCAGCAAAGUUAAUUUGAACACUAAAAAUUAUGAUAUAUUUUAAUUGAAUAUAACGUAGGAAAAUAUGAUAUUUCUGAUUCAAAUAUUAAAAAACUUUUUGCGCAGUUUAUAGUGCUUGUUAUAUAAAUAAAUUAAACACUAAAAAUAUGUAGUAUCGUUUAUUUAUAUACAUAAAUAAAUAAAAUUUAAUAAGCCACAAAAAUUUUCAAACUAUACGGAAAGGUAUUACAUGUUUCAUGUUUUUGGGUGUCACCAUCAAGUAAUACAUACAAGGAGACAAUUCAAAUCUCAAAAUAAACAGACAUUAGUAAUUUCUCUUUUAUGUAUCUAUGUAUUUAUAAGCAGAGUAUUUGGUACUUGCAUUAGAGAGUAAUGGUAGAUUUUGAGUUGCAUGAAAAAAGCUUGGACAAUAUCGUUAUAUAUAGUAGCUUUUGAGUUGUAUUUACUUUUCUCUCUUAUUUCAACGUGAAAUUCACCUAAGAUGUCAGGUACACCUCAUUUUAAGAACUUUGUCAACUCUACUUAAAUCUUGUCCUUCCUUCAAACCCACUCUUUCAUCCUAACCAAAUAGUAGAAUCUACCUAUCAUCUAUUCUUUUUUCUGCAAAUCACCCCUUCUCAAAAAUCCAAUAAGGCUAUGCCCACACAAGUUAACUUCAAGGUAUCCAAUUAGUUCUCAAGUAAUUUUUUCAGAUUUUAGGUGCGACCUUCAGAAGUUUGUUUUGACAUCUAUCCUUUAAUAGUUAUGUGUCCUAAUUUUUGAGUUUUAGUUCAAGGUAGGAUAGGACGAGAUUGACAAAGGUUGUGGGGAGCCUUCCCCGGGGACUAAUAAUUAGAUUCAUUUUAAUAUUUGAGUUUAAGCUUCUAGUUUGAAGUAAGUCUAUCAGUUGUUUUGACACUUAGUAGCUAAAGCAUACUUUAAUUUUUGGCUUAAAUCAUAUUCUUUACUAGCCGUGACUAAUAGUAAGCACUCAUGAGUAUCAUAAUUUUAGUACAAUCGUUUGAUUGACUUAUAUUUAACUUAGAUUAAUAUUUUAAUUUGGAUAAAUUAUUCUCACAUUAACUCUUACCUAUUUUUGCAUUGUUGAUUUGUUUAGAAAUGCGACUAAUAUGUAUUUUGUUUGUAUAAUACAUAAAAAAGAAAAAGAAGAAUAUUUUAUUCGUGGAGAUAAUUGAUACCCAAUAAAAUAAUCGAGAUAUAUAUAAAUUGAUCUGAAAUCACAAUUAUUGAGGGAAUAAUUAAGCAAAAUGGUCGCUCAACCAUCUUAUUUAAAGAAAAUUGGCCCAAAUUUACCACUUCCUCUUCUUCCUCGCACUUUAGCUAUUAAUGACUUCUUCUUCCUUUUCUCGUUGUUGCUUUCAAUCUUCCUUCAUUAUAUUUUUUUUAUUUGGUAAUAAAUAGAGGUCUUAAAUUGAACAGACACAUAUGUUCGUGAAAGAAUAUGACUGUUAUGAAAAAUUAUUUGUUUAUGAAAGAACACGACCUUUAUGAAAAGUGACUUGUUAAUGAAAGAACAUGACUCUUAUGAAAUGUCAUAUAUUCAUGAAAUAACACGACUCUUAUGAAAAGUCAUAUAUUCAUGAAAGAACAUGACUCUUAUGAAAAGUCAUCUCUUAAGUUCUAUAAAUAUAACAACUCUCUUGAAGUAGCCUAAGAAAAAUUUGUGUGUAUAAACAAAGGUGUCACGACCCAAAAAUGACACUCGUCUUAUUCCUCCAAGACAAAUCAACCUAAAACCCAACUGAUACGGUGAAUGCAGAAGUAAAAUGAGAAUACAAGUUUAAUACUACAAAAUAGUGCGGAAAACAAAGUCAACUUAAUUAAACCCCCAAAAUCUGGUUAUCACGUGUACAAUCCUCUAAAGUAUUACAAUUGAAUUAAAAGAAAAAUACAAGUCUCAAAUGACAUUGUUUCUAGAAUUGAACAAGAUCAUAACUAAGGAGAAAGAAGUUCAGCUGAGAUUAAAACAACUAUCUCACAAACCUCCACAAGAAACCAGAGACAAGAAGAGAAGAGAAAUAGUAUCACAAAGAUCCGGGCUAGUAACCUACAAAAAUGUAGAAGCAAGGAGUGAGUACCAAACCACACGGUACUCAGCAAGCAAACUUCUAAACACAAGCUAAGGGAAUAGAACGGGUACUCCUUACAUUCCAACUGAACCUCCACAACUAUAACCUACAUAAAAAUCGCUCAACCUAAAAACUCACAAUUCACAAAGCACACAGCUCAACAACAACACCCUAACAAUUUCAUGUUCUCAACAAUAGACUCAAUAUUUAUCAAUCACAACAUCCACAAAAAGGCACUCACAAGAUCAACAACAUACAAGAUCAAGUUCACCAAUGAUAAAGAUGUGCAAUGCAAUGUCAAGUAUAGGUUUCCAUGUCUGACCUAAAGAUACACACCCGAUCUCUCUCAGUGUGGGACCCAUGGGGGACAUAUUUGUCCAUGCAUCCGUCGCGGUGGGUGACACGUCCCUCGAAAUAUAGUAUCUGUCGCGGGGCGCGACACGUCCCUCGAAAUAUAGUAUCUGUCACGGUGCGCGACACGUCCCUCGAAAUGAUACAUCCUCUUUAAUUUCUUAUUCUUUCUCAAUUCACAUAACACUUGUCACAACCAUGUCUCAGAACAAUACAAAUGACAUAUUCACACAAAUAAUUAGGAGAUGACCAUUUUCAUAACAUUGCACAAUUCACAACAACACAAUCGUGAUACAACAUGAACAAUGAAUCAAUAAGCCUUUCAAAAACCAUUCUCAACACAUCACACACCAACAAUUAAUCACAUUUGCCUUUUGUUACCCUUUUUCAUCAUUAGAAUUAUUCAAUAUGGACAAGUAAACUCAUCACCAAGUCCCAUUACUCUCCAACACAUACCACAAGAAAAUACACGAUUCCAUACACUUAACAAGAGUUUAGAAAUCCACUUGCCUCAAAUGGUCAAACAAUCACUCUGAAACUUGAGCCUUCCCCUUUCGUUGGACUUCUAGAUCAAUUCAAUCUAUUCAAAUAAAUAAUCACAAUAAGAUUUUGAAACUAACAACAACCAUAUUGCUAUAUGUAUAGCUUAGACCCAAAACUCACCCGAAUUUAUAAUAAAGUUUCUAAAUCUUGAUUCUAACCAAUAACACAAAUCUCAUAUUUCCUGAACUUUAAGUCUAGGGUUAAAUUUCAACUACUCCAAAUAACAUAACUCAAAUGUCAUUCGUAUAAUAUCAUACACCUAAUAUUUAAUUACUUAACUCACUAUUUCAAACUUGUAUCAAAUGUAAAAAUCAUGAAAAGAAACUACGAAAUCGAAAUCAACGGAAAAGUAGAAAUAACACGAAGCACCCAAUCCAGCAGGGUCAAAUUUCCAGCCACCAUCAAUUCCUCACGUCUUAGUCCAUUAACUAUGGGCCAAGUGAUAUAAGCUAUUACAUAAAUUAUCAAUUUAGUAUAUUAACUAUCAACUAAAUAAAAUAAUUAUUUAAUAAAUAUCCAUCAAUUAAAUAAACGUAAUUAUCAAAUAGUUUAAAUUUUUCAAACCAACUUCACCGACUGAUCAUAAAUGACUCGGAACAACUAUCGGGAGGGAUAAAACGGUAAUUUUUAUGAUAAUUUCUAAAAAAAAUAUUUAGGAUCAUUACAAAAGGGCUUUGUUAUAUUCUUGACGAUAAUUGUUUGUUUUUACCUCAAUAUGUAUAUGGACAAUAUCUUUUUAAAGAAAGUGAUUACAUGCCUCAAAACCACCUUCUUCUUCAAUUAUAUUUCCUAUUAUUUUUCUAACACAUUCUUCUUUCGUGAUCAACCAAUUACCAUUAAAGUUUUAAAGCUUGAUUUAAACUUUGACGUAUCGCAAACAUGAAUAGUUUCGAGUGAAUUAGAAAUAAAAAAACUCAAAAUAUUUAAGCGGAUUUCAUAUCUAAAAUUUAGGACUAUUUAGAGAAAAAAUUGAGUUGGUCGGAAUUAAAUAGAAAAAAGUAAAAUUACUUGCAAUAAACUCAUCUUUGCCUCCGAAAUCACCUCCUUCAUCAUAAUCCAUAUCCUCUUUAACUAUUUCUCAUCCUUUUCCUUCUUCUUUAAUUAGCCUAAUAAAUAUUCGAAAAAGAUUAGGUUAAUAAAUAGUUAGUCUAUACUACAUCUAUAGUUAAGUUUAGGGGUGGGCAUAAAUACUGGAAAACCGAAUCGAACCGAACUAAUUCGGUUCUUUGGUUUUUCGCUUCGAUCGGUGUCGAUGUUAUUUUUUCGAAAGUUCGGUUCUUCGGUUCGGUGUAAGGGUCUCAAAACUUCGGUGUACCGAAGAACCAAACUUUUAUUUUAAAAAAAUAAAAAUAAUAAUAAUAAAAUAAAAAUAAAUAAAUAAAUAUAUAUAUAUAUAUAUAUAUAUAAUAAUAAUAAUAAAUAAUAAAUAAUAAAUAAUAAUAAUAAUAAUAAUAAUACUCCCUCCAUCCCAUUUUAUGUGGCAAUAUUUGACCGGGCACGGAGUUUAAGAAAUAAAUGAAGACUUUGAAAUAUUUACCAAAUUGCCCUUUAAAAAGUAGACUAUUUUUUCUCUCUCCUUAUAAAUGUAUUGGAGUAUUAUUUUAAGAUUAAGUAGGAUCAAUAAGGAUAAAAGAGGAAUUGUACCUUUAUAAUAUUUAUUUAAUUUGUCAGUACUAUUGUCCUUUGGUGGUUGUCCCAAUAAAUUGAAAUAGUAUUAUUGUACUAAUAUUUAUUUAAUUUGUCCUUUGGUUCUCUCUAUUAUUGUCCUUUGGUGGUUGUCCCAAUAAAUUGAAAUAGUAUUAUUGUACUAAUAUUUAUUUAAUUUGUCAGUACUAUUUUUUGCUAAUAUGUAAGUAAUUUCAUUAUUAAAUUUUAGAAAAAAAGUUGAUAUAUUCUUCAACUUUGUUAAAAAGUGACUCAUUUAAUGGAAGUAAAAAUAAUUAGUUUAUAUACUAAACAUAGAAAAAUAAGUAAAAAAAGUUCAAUUUCACUUAUUUCAACCACCCUAAAUCUUAUUUAUAGUGUAGAGUUGUUGGGAAAUAAUACACAAAAAUGGGGGAACAAAGCAAAAAAUUGCAUAUUGCAGUAUUUCCAUGGCUAGCUUUUGGUCAUAUGAUUCCGUAUUUUGAGCUUUCAAAGCUCAUAGCUCAGAAGGGUCACAAAAUUUCUUUCAUUUCUACUCCUAGAAAUAUCGAUCGUCUUCCAAAACUUCCACCAAAUCUCGCCCCCUUCUUGAAUUUCGUCAAAAUUCCUCUGCCCC